UUUCCGUAGGUGAACCUGCGGAAGGAUCAUUACCGAGUGAGGGCCCUCUGGGUCCAACCUCCCACCCGUGUUUAUUAUACCUUGUUGCUUUGGCGGGCCCGCCUCACGGCCGCCGGGGGGCUUCUGCCCCCGGGCCCGUGCCAGCCGAAGACACCUUAGAACUCUGUCUGAAGAUUGUAGUCUGAGUAAAAAUAUAAAUUAUUUAAAACUUUCAACAACGGAUCUCUUGGUUCCG
Molecule: unclassified non-coding RNA, 235 nt
Filed under: plant metagenome
Description: partial contains small subunit ribosomal RNA, internal transcribed spacer 1, and 5.8S ribosomal RNA
Source: RNAcentral